CACAGCGAGAAGACGGUCGUUUAUACACCAGACAGCAGACUCUCACCAGACACCAAAUCUCUGGGCACCUUGACCUUGGACUUCCCAGGCUUCAGAACCAUGAGAGAUAAAUAAAUACAUUUUUAUUUACAAGUCACUUAGUUUUUGGUAGUGUGUUAGAGCAGCUCAAACGGGCUAAGACAUGAGGCAACCCAGGGCUGGUGUGGUGAUGGCACAAAGUCAUCGAGCUCCUUCCGUCUUCUGUUUUGCUGCGCAUCACCUCUAAUCGCAAGGCAGCCUCACGGUCUCAACUGGCUGCUGGAGCUCCAGCCAUUGUGUCCGCCGUCAAAGCAGCAGAAAAGGAGACAGAGAGGAAGAAGGGCUGAAGCGCCCCGGCUUUUUGUGUCCCCAUAUAGACUUGCCUGCCCCGUUCCGUUCCUCUGGAGUCUCUCCCUGGCCGCCUCGGAUGCCAUCUGUCACUGACCCUCGGGUCCCCUCCGCUUCCGGCUGGGCCACCCCGUCCCGCCCACCCGGGCCCGUCGAGAAGGGAGACGGGGCCCAGCAGGACAUCAUCACCCUCGAAGCCACCCUGCCAGGCGCUCAGGGUUGCUGUCUGUAGAUGUUGGGGAGACACCAUCAGAGAGAGAGGGAUGCUGGGACCAUACCCUCGUAGAGACAGGGGUACUGUGGACACACUCUCAGAGAGAAGGAUGCUGAGAACACCCUCAGAGAGAAGGAUGCUGGGAACAUCUUCAGAGAGAGGGAUGCUGGGGACACACCCUCAGAGAGAGCUGCUUGCCCUCGGAGAACCAGGACCUGUGACUACCUGUCCACAGAAGCCUGAUUCAGAAGUUUAAGUGCAGAAAGGGACCAUCCUGAGGCGUUGUAGCAUUAGACGGCACUGACAGCAAAUGUUGUUAAUUAUCUGAUCAACAUAGGUAUGAUGGAUUUUCAAUCUUAUUUAAAGUUUAUACUGUCUCCAGGAAGCUGGGUAACAUGCUUUCUUAUUCCAUGUAAAUCUCUAACGUGUCUACACAGCUCUCCGCGUGUCUGCUCAUUAUGUGGGGGGAGAAACUUUUUGGCACUUUUCAUGCUUUUCCCCAAAGAACACCUCUAACCAAGCAAAAGCAAUCUGAUUCCCCAGCUGGAAUGAUGUAAGUGGAAUUAAAUAUUUUUAAAUGA
Molecule: long non-coding RNA, 1161 nt
Organism: Herpailurus yagouaroundi (jaguarundi)
Lineage: Eukaryota; Metazoa; Chordata; Mammalia; Carnivora; Felidae
Exons: 3
Source: RefSeq, a predicted model, not a curated record